GAUGUGUUUUCCUUUGAAUUUGUGGGUUGUGCCCAAACUUCAAGCCUAUCAGCCUCAUGUUGGCAUAACAUCAAAAGCAGCUGCUUCCGUUUUUCUCUUCCCACAACAUAAUUCUCCAUUUGGCCCCAGAUAGGGUGAAACUGAUCAUUCAUAUCAGCCACAGAAAUUCCAUUAUCUGGUCCCCGUCCUUUUGCAUCAGAUUGAACAUCUGUUCGCUCAUUCGAAAGAUAGUGGACAAAUAGAGAGACAGAC
This 252-nucleotide unclassified non-coding RNA is filed under the name Hevea brasiliensis (rubber tree). The record is from RNAcentral. Lineage: Eukaryota; Viridiplantae; Streptophyta; Magnoliopsida; Malpighiales; Euphorbiaceae.